RNAcentral lists this ribosomal RNA (427 nucleotides) under Pseudoalteromonas luteoviolacea. Its description in RNAcentral is "partial 23S ribosomal RNA". It matches the Rfam family "Bacterial large subunit ribosomal RNA", at positions 2309 to 2735 of the family's 2925-position model. Lineage: Bacteria; Pseudomonadati; Pseudomonadota; Gammaproteobacteria; Alteromonadales; Pseudoalteromonadaceae. The record is from RNAcentral.
CACGAAGGUUGGCUAAGUACGGUCGGACAUCGUACGGUUAGUGUAAUGGUAGAAGCCAGCUUAACUGCGAGACAGACACGUCGAGCAGGUACGAAAGUAGGUCAUAGUGAUCCGGUGGUUCUGAAUGGAAGGGCCAUCGCUCAACGGAUAAAAGGUACUCCGGGGAUAACAGGCUGAUACCGCCCAAGAGUUCAUAUCGACGGCGGUGUUUGGCACCUCGAUGUCGGCUCAUCACAUCCUGGGGCUGAAGUCGGUCCCAAGGGUAUGGCUGUUCGCCAUUUAAAGUGGUACGCGAGCUGGGUUUAGAACGUCGUGAGACAGUUCGGUCCCUAUCUGCCGUGGGCGUUUGAGAAUUGAGAGGGGCUGCUCCUAGUACGAGAGGACCGGAGUGGACGAACCGCUGGUGUUCGGGUUGUUAUGCCAAUAG